CAUGAAGUAGAGGAGACAGGACGAGGGAGAAAGGACGAAGGAAGCAUCAGUUGGAGCAGUUCAGCAUGAGCCACAUGAACCACGGUCCGUGCGUGGACAAGGCGACGUGGAUGUACACGACGUUGCCUUGGAGAUCGAGGCGCGGGCAGAAACAGUACAAACAAUAAGAGCCGUUGUUAAAAACAGCCACAACCAUGACAUGAUGGCAUCAUUUCCACAUAAAAGAUAUGCUACGGUUUCACGUCACAGCUGAACCGCUGAGGUUCUGCUCCAAACCCGGUGAGCGGCUUAUGGUCACUGUUCGUUGAAAGUUUCAGACCAAAACUCAUCAGGGAAACUAAUGAACAAAAACACAGCGGGGGACUCUAUGAUUCCAAACUGGAUCUACCCGCUCACCUGAAAGAGGCGCGCCCUGAGCAGGACGUCAAAAAGCUUAAACCUACGGGCACCUGUCAAUUAAACCAACCUCACCGCAGCGGGCGCGUGACGGUAAAUGCCACUCAACCCGUUUCUUUCGCCAUUCAAGGGUCCGACACACCUGACGCAGGACAAAGCUGCCAUAUAAAAGCUGCAGGUGUUUGUUGAGCGACACUCAUCACUAAGCGGCCGAACCAACGGGACCAGGCGGCGUCGACGGACACGAACAGCUCAAUUUUUUUUCACAAUGAUGAUGAAAACCUGUAUUGUUCUUCUCCUGCUGUUUGUUGCCUCAGGCAACACACAGACUUUAACAACAGUUCCUCCAGCCACCACCACAGUGGCCAUGACCACGGAAUCAACUACCACCGGAGCAACAACUACCACAGGAGCAACAACUACCACAGGAGCAACAACUACCACAGGAGUAACUACGACCGGGGGAUCAACUACCACCGGAGGAUCAACUACCACCGGAGGAGCAACUACCACCGGAGGAUCAACCGCCACUGUAUCCACAACAAAAGCCACCUCUUCAGCAGCCAUAAACAAAACAAGCUUCCUUCUACUCACAUCAGUUGUCUCCUCACUUCUUUGGAAAUGAAUUUGCUCAAAUGAGGGACCAAACAGCUUGUUUGUAGUUGACACACUGAUGUUUAUAUGAAGGCGCAGCCUGAUUUGUGAGGCUUUAUUGUCAGGUUCUCUUCUUUUGUCCUGUUUAUAUUAAAGACGUAGAAAGGCAGCGUUCAACAGAUCUAAGUGACCCACACAGUGUGGCGACAGCUCUGUAGAACACUGUAGAUGCAUAAAACAUGUCCAAAUAUUAAAAGCACACAAACAUAGCAAACGUUGCUGCCUCAUCCUGUGUCUUUAUUUUGACUUAUGACUUACAGCAUA
RNAcentral lists this long non-coding RNA (1314 nucleotides) under Betta splendens (Siamese fighting fish). RNAcentral's name for it is "lncRNA (ENSBSLG00000004402.1)". Lineage: Eukaryota; Metazoa; Chordata; Actinopteri; Anabantiformes; Osphronemidae. The record is from RNAcentral.